RNAcentral lists this transfer RNA (86 nucleotides) under Azospira oryzae. RNAcentral describes it as "tRNA-Tyr". It matches the Rfam family "tRNA". Rfam says of the family: Transfer RNA (tRNA) molecules are approximately 80 nucleotides in length. Their secondary structure includes four short double-helical elements and three loops (D, anti-codon, and T loops). The record is from RNAcentral. Lineage: Bacteria; Pseudomonadati; Pseudomonadota; Betaproteobacteria; Rhodocyclales; Rhodocyclaceae.
GGGGAGAUACUCAAGUGGCUAACGAGGACAGACUGUAAAUCUGUUGACUUAUGUCUUCAUAGGUUCGAAUCCUAUUCUCCCCACCA